RNAcentral lists this transfer RNA (62 nucleotides) under Pseudoniphargus unisexualis. Its description in RNAcentral is "tRNA-Pro". Lineage: Eukaryota; Metazoa; Arthropoda; Malacostraca; Amphipoda; Allocrangonyctidae. The record is from RNAcentral.
CAGAAAAUAGUUUAUUUAAAAUAGUAGGUUUGGGGCUUAUUGAGGAGUUAUUUUUUUUCUGA